GCCUUCGUGCUGUAGUGGUAAGCACGCUAGACGUGUAUUCGAGAGGUCCGUGGUUCGAGUCCCGGUGAGGGCA
Molecule: transfer RNA, 73 nt
Filed under: Stegodyphus mimosarum
Lineage: Eukaryota; Metazoa; Arthropoda; Arachnida; Araneae; Eresidae
Rfam family: tRNA
About the family: Transfer RNA (tRNA) molecules are approximately 80 nucleotides in length. Their secondary structure includes four short double-helical elements and three loops (D, anti-codon, and T loops).
Source: Rfam by way of RNAcentral